RNAcentral lists this ribosomal RNA (255 nucleotides) under uncultured bacterium. Its description in RNAcentral is "partial 16S ribosomal RNA". It matches the Rfam family "Bacterial small subunit ribosomal RNA", at positions 524 to 776 of the family's 1533-position model. The record is from RNAcentral.
UACGUAGGGUGCAAGCGUUGUCCGGAAUUAUUGGGCGUAAAGAGCUCGUAGGCGGCUCGUCGCGUCGGCUGUGAAAACCUGGGGCUCAACCCCGGGCCUGCAGCCGAUACGGGCGAGCUAGAAUUCGGUAGGGGAGACUGGAAUUCCUGAUGUAGCGGUGAAAUGCGCAGAUAUCAGGAGGAACACCGGUGGCGAAGGCGGGGUCUCUGGGCCGAUAUUGACGCUGAGGAGCGAAAGCGUGGGGGAGCGAACAGG